This 66-nucleotide transfer RNA is filed under the name Ixalotriton niger (black jumping salamander). RNAcentral describes it as "tRNA-Val". It matches the Rfam family "tRNA". Rfam says of the family: Transfer RNA (tRNA) molecules are approximately 80 nucleotides in length. Their secondary structure includes four short double-helical elements and three loops (D, anti-codon, and T loops). Lineage: Eukaryota; Metazoa; Chordata; Amphibia; Caudata; Plethodontidae. The record is from RNAcentral.
CAGAAUAUAGCUUAAAUUAAAGCAUUUUGCUUACACCAAAAAAAUAUUUGUACACAGAUUAUUCUG